UACGUAGGGUGCGAGCGUUAAUCGGAAUUACUGGGCGUAAAGGGUGCGCAGGCGGCGUCGCGAGUCAGGCGUGAAAUCCCCGGGCUUAACCUGGGAACUGCACUUGAAACUACGAUGCUGGAGUAUGGCAGAGGGAGGUGGAAUUCCACGUGUAGCGGUGAAAUGCGUAGAGAUGUGGAGGAACACCGAUGGCGAAGGCAGCCUCCUGGGCCAAUACUGACGCUCAUGCACGAAAGCCAGGGGAGCAAACGGG
RNAcentral lists this ribosomal RNA (253 nucleotides) under uncultured bacterium. Its description in RNAcentral is "partial 16S ribosomal RNA". It matches the Rfam family "Bacterial small subunit ribosomal RNA", at positions 524 to 776 of the family's 1533-position model. The record is from RNAcentral.